RNAcentral lists this ribosomal RNA (548 nucleotides) under uncultured Glomus. RNAcentral describes it as "SSU rRNA". It matches the Rfam family "Eukaryotic small subunit ribosomal RNA", at positions 548 to 1096 of the family's 1831-position model. Lineage: Eukaryota; Fungi; Glomeromycota; Glomeromycetes; Glomerales; Glomeraceae. The record is from RNAcentral.
UUGGAGGGCAAGUCUGGUGCCAGCAGCCGCGGUAAUUCCAGCUCCAAUAGCGUAUAUUAAAGUUGUUGCAGUUAAAAAGCUCGUAGUUGAAUUUCGGGAUCAAUGUUUCGGUCAUGCCGUUGGUAUGUACUGAUAUUAUUGAUUUCUCACCUUCUAAAGAACCGUAAUGCCAUUAAUUUGGUGUCACGGGGAAUUAGGACUGUUACCUUGAAAAAAUUAGAGUGUUUAAAGCAGGCUCACGCUUGAAUACAUUAGCAUGGAAUAAUGAAAUAGGACAUCCGAUUCUAUUUUGUUGGUUUCUAGGAUCGAUGCAAUGAUUAAUAGGGAUAGUUGGGGGCAUUAGUAUUCAAUUGUCAGAGGUGAAAUUCUUGGAUUUAUUGAAGACUAACUACUGCGAAAGCAUUUGCCAAGGAUGUUUUCAUUAAUCAAGAACGAAAGUUAGGGGAUCGAAGACGAUCAGAUACCGUCGUAGUCUUAACCAUAAACUAUGCCGACUAGGGAUCGGAUGAUGUUAAUUUUUUAAUGACUCAUUCGGCGCCUUACGGGAA